AGUGAACGCUGGCGGUAGGCCUAACACAUGCAAGCCGAACGGCAGCACAGUAAGAGCUUGCUCUUACGGGUGGCGAAUGGCGGACGGGAGAGGAAUACAUCGGAAUCUACUUUUUCGUGGGGGAUAACGUAGGGAAACUUACGCUCAUACAGCAUACGACCUACGGGUGAAAGCAGUGGAUCUUCGCACCUUGCGCGAUUGAAUGAGCCGAUGUCGGAUUAGCUAGUUGGCGGGGUAAAGGCCCACCAAGGCGACGAUCCGUAGCUGGUCUGAGAGGAUGAUCAGCCACACUGGAACUGAGACACGGUCCAGACUCCUACGGGAGGCAGCAGUGGGGAAUAUUGGACAAUGGGCGCAAGCCUGAUCCAGCCAUACCGCGUGGGUGAAGAAGGCCUUCGGGUUGUAAAGCCCUUUUGUUGGGUAAGAAAAGCAGCAGGUUAAUACCCCGCUGUUCUGACGGUACCCAAAGAAUAAGCACCGGCUAACUUCGUG
This 492-nucleotide ribosomal RNA is filed under the name uncultured bacterium. Its description in RNAcentral is "partial 16S ribosomal RNA". It matches the Rfam family "Bacterial small subunit ribosomal RNA", at positions 29 to 507 of the family's 1533-position model. The record is from RNAcentral.